RNAcentral lists this unclassified non-coding RNA (322 nucleotides) under soil metagenome. Its description in RNAcentral is "partial contains 5.8S ribosomal RNA, internal transcribed spacer 2, and large subunit ribosomal RNA". The stretch from base 1 to 120 matches the Rfam family "5.8S ribosomal RNA", at positions 35 to 154 of the family's 154-position model. The record is from RNAcentral.
GAUGAAGAACGUAGCGAGAUGCGAUAAGUAAUGUGAAUUGCAGAAUUCAGUGAAUCAUCGAAUCUUUGAACGCACCUUGCGCCCUUUGGUAUUCCGAAGGGCAUGCCUGUUUGAGUGUCAUGAAACCUCACCCCACUUGGGUUUUUGCCUGAGCGGUGGUGUAUUGGGUGUUGCCUUGCUAAAGGCUCGCCUUAAAGACAUAAGCACCUUGGAUGUAAUACGUUUCAUCCUUCUGGGUGGCUGAUAACCCCACAUAUUCAUGAUCUGGCCUCAAAUCAGGUAGGGCUACCCGCUGAACUUAAGCAUAUCAAUAAGCGGAGGA